CCAUUUUUCUUGUCUUGACCCCUGGAAAAUAUGCAGUGUCUGAGCAACGUGGACGUUGGAAAAUUAGUCCCGGUGGAUGGAUAAUUCAUCGUUAAACGCCCAGCAAAUAGACAACGAAUUGACUAUCCUCUCUUCUUACCCCCUAAAAUGAACGAGUUUUUUGUUUGAUUGAAACCCAUAGUAAGUGAUUGAUGAUAGUGUAAUGAUCAUUUUGUACUGAGUUUAAAGCAUAGAAAUCAUUGCACUAUUACUGGA
Molecule: small RNA, 255 nt
Filed under: Arabidopsis thaliana (thale cress)
Lineage: Eukaryota; Viridiplantae; Streptophyta; Magnoliopsida; Brassicales; Brassicaceae
Description: putative long intergenic non-coding RNA
Source: RNAcentral